CUUCUAGCGGCAUCUAUACAGGCCAUUUCUACAGGUCUUCUUAGCUAUCGAGCCCUACAACGAUUACAAACUUCAUCUCAAGGGCUGCGCAUCAUACACAGAUAUGGUAACUCUGGACUCAGAAGCGGAGGAUGAACUCCAAUGGUGGCUUCUUCACAUGGAAGCUUGGAAUAAGCACACCAUAUUUUGUACAGCUCCAGAUUUGAUAAUCAAAUCCGACACAAGUUUGCAUGGUUGGGGUGCUCAAUGCGGAACUAUUUCCACCAAGGGCAGAUAAUCAAACCUGGAAUCAACACUCCACAUCAAUUGUUUGGAACAUCUGGCUGGUUCCUUUGCAGUCCAUAGUUUCUCCCCAACUCAAGCCCAAUGCGCUAUCCUUCUGAAGAUGGACAACGUGUCAGCAGUCCGCUACAUCAAUCACUUGGAGGCACAAAAUACAAAAUUCUGACCUACAUGCCUCGUGAUUGCUGGCAAUUUUGCCUGAGACACGGCAUUUCAGUCACGGCAGAAUAUAUUCAAGGUCUCUCCAAUACUACGAAGGACUGGUAUUCACGCCAACUCAGAGAUUCCAGCGACUGGCACUUGGAUUCCAUGGUCUUCCAAGACAUCUGGAACCUAUGGAGUCUAUUUUCACUUCUCGUUUGAAUGCUCAACUUCCCCGUUUUUUCAGUUGGAGACCAG
Pelobates cultripes (western spadefoot toad) is the source of this 681-nucleotide non-coding RNA. NCBI's taxonomy places the organism in Eukaryota, Metazoa, Chordata, Amphibia, Anura, Pelobatidae. The record is from the annotation of a GenBank genome assembly.